Molecule: unclassified non-coding RNA, 2295 nt
Filed under: Zea mays
Lineage: Eukaryota; Viridiplantae; Streptophyta; Magnoliopsida; Poales; Poaceae
Description: misc RNA Zm00001eb421420
Source: RNAcentral
AAAAGAACGAUCAUCUCGUGACAAAAAAAAAAGAAGUAGUAAAAAGAAACCGACGUGCGUGGAAAUUAAAAAGGCCGAGAAAUGCCCAUGUCUGCACCAAAAACCGUCGCUGCCACUUACCCCGCCCGCGCCCAUAUUGCAUGCAUAUUCCUCCACACAGCUACUUGAUCUGAUCCCCGUCCGGCCAGGCGCCAGCUCUCGAUCACGCGUCUUUUUUAUUCCUGUGGCGCUCCCCGCCGUACGGCCAUGCACCGCCGCUGGGCGACGACGCUGUGGUCGUGGACGACGGCGUGGACGGCGCCGCAGCGGCCGACGAGGACGGCAUUGCCGCGGCCCGCGGCGGCGACGGCGACGGCGGGCCGGGCCGGAUGAGCUGCUGCGUGGAGAAGUCCAGUAUCUGCGGCGCCGAUGCGGACGACGACGGCGAGAACGUGGAGGGCAGGUUGACUCCCGGCCGACCGCCCAUCAUCGUCAUGAGCUGCUGCUGCUGCUGCUGACGGUGCGCCUGCUGGACCGCCGCCUCGGCGUGGCCGCCGCCGCCCCGGCCGCCCUGCAGCAGCUGCGCGUACUGCAUGAGGUCGGGGUACGGCACGACGGUCUGGUGGCCGUGCUGGUGGUGCGGCGGCGGCAUUGCUGCCAGGGUCACCGCCGCCGACGGGUGCCGGUGGUCCGGGAUGCCGCGGGUGACGAGGAAGCCGAGGUCGGUUCGGCCCUGCACGCGCUCCGGGAAGUUGAGCUUGGCCUUGGUGCCCUUGAACCGCAGCGCCGCCUCGUCGUAGGCGAUGGCGGCGUCCUCCGCCGUGUCGAAGGUGCCGAGCCACACCCGCGCCGCCUUCUUGGGGUCCCGGAUCUCUGCCGCCCACUUGCCCCACGGCCGCUGCCUCACCCCCCGGUAGUGCCGCCUCCGACCUGCUGUGGGCAUGCUUAUAGUUUACUAUAAUCCGCAAUCGCAAAACACAUGGCCAUGCUCAAUUAACUACUGCUUGUUCUGGACACAGGUUUUUAUCAAAUCGUCGUCAGAGUACGCUACGUCACAGCUAACGUCGCUUGGCUCGCAUAAAAUAUUCUUUGGCAAGAUAAUUGAUCCCAGUUCGUGUGCUUUCUCGAGAGUUCAUUAACCCACGGUUUAGUAGCUAGGAAAGAGUAAAGUACGUUGAGCUGCCGGUAAUUUACAGGCUGGAUCGAAAUCGAUGAUGGACGUGUCACUGAUUUGGACGGACCGAAGCUUCCAAAUCGGGCAAUCGAGCGGAAGGCGGAAGGCCGUGCGCGUGCCAUGCUAUCGCAAUCGACGACAAGGAGUAAUGCUACCUUGCCUGCACCGAUCGAUGAGACGGCCGGAUGGCUAGGCUAGGUGCGCGUACCUUGCUCCUCCUCGGCGGCGGCGACGUGGCCGCCGGGACCGGGAUAGUGGUGCGCAGACGCUUGCGGGUGGUCUCCCAGCCGAAGGCUGCCCGGGACGCCGGCGCCGUACAAGGCCGGCGCCUGCUGCGGCGGAAGCUGGUCAGGCGAGGCCCGGAUGACGUGGGCAAGCGCGGAGGCCACGGCGGAGGCGUCGUUGUCGGCGCGCGCCGAGUAGUAGUACUGCGCGUACGCCUGCGGCGGCGACGGGCCACCGAUCACGGAAGACGACGACGACCCUCCGCCGCCGCUAAAGGUGGCUCCUUGCAGCUGCGAGACGGCGGCGUGGUGAGGCUCCUCCAGCUGCUCGUGCUUUGCGGGCGGCGGGCCCGGGGGCAGCGCCUCCUCCUCCUCCUCCUCUUCCACCUCGGCGGCGGGUAGGGGCCUCUUGCCAUGCCUCCUCCGUGGAUCCACCUUAGUCAGCUGCCGGUCGAUCUGCCUCCUCCUCCUCCUCCUCCGGCGGGUAGAACUGGACCGAUCGAUCCGGGCAUGCGUCGAGGAGAGCUGAAGAUUAUUUGGACUUCGGACGGAGGCUCGCGCUCAGGCUCAGCUCGGUGGAGCAGUGCACAAUGACGUGCCGAGCUCGCUACUGAUAAGAACGCGGAGAGAGAAGAGCGAGAGAGAUGCCAAGAAUGCCUUCUCUUUAUCUUUAUUAUUUUUUAUUUGUAUAUGUUGGCUAGAGAGAGAGAGAGAGGGGGUGAAAAGAGGAAAAUAGAACAUUUUGCACUUAGUUUUUAUAAACUCAUAUAUUUGUCUAGGAGAGUAGUACUCAUAUAUUUGUCCUUUGAACUAGUUUCGAAAGGAUAAAAAAAGCUGUCUUGCAUUGUAACUUGGGGCUUUGUCUAGGAGGAGAGCAUCGCUUUAUUAACAGCAUGUCGGAAAAGACAAGAUAGGGGC